This 507-nucleotide ribosomal RNA is filed under the name uncultured bacterium. RNAcentral describes it as "bacterial SSU rRNA". It matches the Rfam family "Bacterial small subunit ribosomal RNA", at positions 19 to 518 of the family's 1533-position model. The record is from RNAcentral.
CUGGCUCAGGAUGAACGCUAGCUACAGGCUUAACACAUGCAAGUCGAGGGCGGCAUUGGGAUAGCUUGCUAUUCAGAUGGCGACCGGCGCACGGGUGAGUAACGCGUAUCCAACCUUCCUGCCAGUAGGGAACAGCCCGGCGAAAGUCGGAUUAAUGCCCUAUGUUCUUCAAUGCGGACAUCUAAGUUGAAGGAAAGAUUCAUCGCUGGCAGAUGGGGAUGCGUCCGAUUAGCUUGCCGGCGGGUAACGGCCCACCGGGCGACGAUCGGUAGGGGUUCUGAGAGGAAGGUCCCCCACACUGGUACUGAGACACGGACCAGACUCCUACGGGAGGCAGCAGUGAGGAAUAUUGGUCAAUGGGCGUAAGCCUGAACCAGCCAAGUAGCGUGCAAGGAUGACGGCCCUACGGGUUGUAAACUGCUUUUAUGCGGGGAUAAAGUGCGGCACGUGUGCCGCUUUGCAGGUACCGCAUGAAUAAGGACCGGCUAAUUCCGUGCCAGCCGCAGC